This is a long non-coding RNA of Xiphophorus hellerii (green swordtail), 1057 nucleotides long. RefSeq lists it as uncharacterized. The record is from RefSeq and is a predicted model, not a curated record. The transcript is spliced from 2 exons. NCBI's taxonomy places the organism in Eukaryota, Metazoa, Chordata, Actinopteri, Cyprinodontiformes, Poeciliidae.
GAGAGGAGAGGAGAGGAGAUGGGAACGGAGCGCGUGGGCAGCGCUGCCAGGCACAUGACAAAGUGGAAAGUGUUGUCUUUAAAACCGUGUAAUGCUCCUCAAAUGUGUGGCGACGCAGCCAAAAGCUCAGAAAGAAAGCGUGAGAAGCCAAAAGAAAAAAGAAAAAAAAAAGGAAAAGAAAAUGAAAGCUGAAGAGAGUGGAGGUUGGUGGGGGGACGAGACGCAGAGAGAGCUAUACAGUCAGCUGAGAUAAUUGACACUCUCAGAGAGCGAGCCAGCACUUCUCCUCUUCCUCUCAUCGUUUAAGUGCCGCGCUGUGGUUUAAGUUAUUGCGCCCAUUGUAAGUCACAAAGCGGGGAGGAAUGUUUGGCCGGCGCUCUGGGAAACGCCACUCCGGGCCCCGCAGCUGUCACAGCUCCGGGGACUUGAAUUCUGCCACGGAGAGCUCAAUGGCGGGGAGCUGGCACACCAACAUGUGCUGCUUAUUUUUUUUAAUUUUUUUCUGGUGGACUUUAUGUGAAUCUGAAAACGCGUAGCCGUGUAGCUUCGCUCACAUCCUCGCACGCUACCGUGACCGCGCCACUCUCCGACAGCCGCAAGAGUUCAGAUUCACAGCAGGCAGACGGGGGACAGAACCAGAGCCAGGCCAAAAGUCAGACCUCCGUCAGGCCCUCUGUUCAGCUGAAGAACCCAAGACUUUUUAUUCCACUUUCAUUUCCAGCAUUUCUGUCUUACAUCAGAGUUAACAACAGAAUUCAGAUUUAUGCCAUAAAAUAUUUUGCUGUAAGCUUUUUCUCCCCAGUCUCACUAGUGUUGGUAUAUUUUGUUUAUCUGUUAUUACUAUGUGUGAAUCAAAAGUAAAGCCGUUUUGAUUCCAUUAAUAGUAUGUUUUGAUUAUUUGGCUACUUUGGUUUUAGUUCAUUAUCAAUAUGAAGUUAUUGAUUAGUAACUAAUAAAUGUUACUUUACUGAUUAUCGGCUGUUAUUAAUUUUCUAAUUUUCAAUCCAGUGCUUUUUCCUGCAUUGAUUUGAAAUAAAACUUUGAAUCUUGGAACAUA